AUCCCAUGAUGAGGACAGGUGGUGACAUUUUCCUGCAGCCUUUCCCAAGCUUCUAGAAUUGUCUCAUCUCUCGUUUGCUGGAAGCUGGUUAUUCUUGCACGAAGGGG
This 107-nucleotide small nucleolar RNA is filed under the name Oryza punctata. RNAcentral describes it as "Plant small nucleolar RNA R71". It matches the Rfam family "Plant small nucleolar RNA R71". From Rfam's summary of the family: R71 is a member of the C/D box family of snoRNAs containing the C (UGAUGA) and D (CUGA) box motifs. The record is from Rfam by way of RNAcentral. Lineage: Eukaryota; Viridiplantae; Streptophyta; Magnoliopsida; Poales; Poaceae.